CCCUUAGAUGUUCUGGGCUGCACGCGCGCUACACUGAUGCAUUCAACGAGUUUCUUCCUGGUCCGAGAGGAAUGGGUAACCUUUUGAAAGUGCAUCGUGAUAGGGAUAGACUAUUGCAAUUAUUGAUCUUCAACGAGGAAUUCCUAGUAGACGUAGUUCAUCAGACUGCAUCGAUUACGUCCCUGCCCUUUGUACACACCGCCCGUCGCUCCUACCGAUUGAAUGCUCAGGUGAGCCAUUCGGACUUUCAUCAUGCUGGUUUCCAGUUUUGAUGAAGGAAAGUCUUGCGAACCUUAUCAUUUAGAGGAAGGAGAAGUCGUAACA
RNAcentral lists this ribosomal RNA (324 nucleotides) under uncultured eukaryote. RNAcentral's name for it is "partial 18S ribosomal RNA". It matches the Rfam family "Eukaryotic small subunit ribosomal RNA", at positions 1470 to 1796 of the family's 1831-position model. The record is from RNAcentral.